ACAGUUUAGACUGCUACACCCAAAGAUGAAAUGGGACGUUCCCACCCCGUCCAGAGAACAUAAACUUCAUCAUGGUGUUCAAGGUCACAAAAAGGACAGCGAGAUGACGACACUGGUAUUGACGCGGUAUUUUUUUCCAAAUUCAGCACCAAGGCCACCAAACUGACCCUUUUUAAGAGCAAAUAAAACAGGACUUUGGUAAGUAACAAGAAAUAUCCACGUCUUUAUGUUGCACACCUGCCUGCUAUGGAACAAAUUUAGUUUUUAGUACACCUUAACGGCAAUCGUUUAUGUAUUUCAUUAUCGUCCUAGUUUAUCAACUGUUGUAAUCAUUAAACCCAAAAGCCUCUUCAGGAACUUGGAUAACAUCAAUGGGAAAUAAUGCAACUCAUCUGAAGAGCUUAAACAGCCCCCUUCAAAACAAAUGUUCAUGUUGUGAUGUCUAGUCAAUGAUCAUGAUUAAACAAUGUAAAAUUUAUUAAAAUAUAACGAAAAUGAGUGAAAUGAACAGAAGGAGAUUAACAAAGAAUACAGAACCACACGAAAGAAGUAGCAGCCAACUUUAAGUUCUAGUUGUAGCAAAAACUCACUUCUGUAUUCCAUGCACAAGGGAAGUACGCAAGAAAAUUAAUUAGUUCAGGAAUAAUCAACAGCCCUAAAGACUUUCUUAGGCACAGCAUAAAAGAGAAAUGGCAAUAAAAAUAAAACAAUGGACAUUAAAUACCUAUAUGGUUAACAUGGAAUUUGCUACUUCAAAAUACCAAGAUUCUAGGACGCAAUAAAGACCAUCAAGUUGAGAAUUAUGCAAGAAUAACGUAAAACAAUGGAGAGAAGGAGAAUCAACACUUCGUUAGAAAUAAUUAGGUCUUAGAAAGCAAUGGACACAUACAGUUAAAACAGUGUGAAGGUAGAAAUAUAAUAGAAAAGCAAAGUUCAAAUAUACUCAAACCAUGUUAAAAUUUAAAUAUGUAGGAGAUCAAUGAGUGAAAAUAGGAAACAAACUAAUAUUAGGAGUUACACACAAGCCUGAAUUAAACACAAACCCCAUUGUAAUAUGAAUAAAAAAAUAUACUUUAACCGGUGCAUGAAGUGCUCUGACAAUUCAUACAAUUCCAUGAACUAAACAAGGUAAUGACUGAUAAAUAUCCAAGCUUGGGAAACUUAAAAUCAUAUUCCCAGAGACACAAGCCAUUUAUUUCAGAUCUCAGAAAAUUUAAGCCAUUUGAUUAUGCCCACCAAGA
Long non-coding RNA from Pyrus x bretschneideri (Chinese white pear), 1241 nucleotides. RefSeq lists it as uncharacterized. The record is from RefSeq and is a predicted model, not a curated record. NCBI's taxonomy places the organism in Eukaryota, Viridiplantae, Streptophyta, Magnoliopsida, Rosales, Rosaceae. The transcript has 2 exons.